This 496-nucleotide ribosomal RNA is filed under the name uncultured bacterium. Its description in RNAcentral is "partial 16S ribosomal RNA". It matches the Rfam family "Bacterial small subunit ribosomal RNA", at positions 28 to 506 of the family's 1533-position model. The record is from RNAcentral.
GAUGAACGCUGGCGGCGUGCCUAAUACAUGCAAGUCGAGCGAACGGACGAGAAGCUUGCUUCUCUGAUGUUAGCGGCGGACGGGUGAGUAACACGUGGAUAACCUACCUAUAAGACUGGGAUAACUUCGGGAAACCGGAGCUAAUACCGGAUGAUAUUUUGAUCCGCAUGGUUCAAAAGUGAAAGACGGUCUUGCUGUCACUUAUAGAUGGAUCCGCGCUGCAUUAGCUAGUUGGUAAGGUAACGGCUUACCAAGGCAACGAUGCAUAGCCGACCUGAGAGGGAGAACGGCCACACUGGAACUGAGACACGGUCCAGACACCUACGGGAGGCAGCAGUAGGGAAGCUGCCGCAAUGGGCGAAAGCCUGACGGAGCAACGCCGCGUGGGUGAUGAAGGUCUUCGGAUCGUAAAACUCUGUUAGUAGGGAAGAACAUAUGUGUAAGUAACUGUGCACAUCUUGACGGUACCUAAUCAGAAAGCCACGGCUAACUACGU